RNAcentral lists this ribosomal RNA (409 nucleotides) under Clostridium carboxidivorans. RNAcentral's name for it is "bacterial SSU rRNA". It matches the Rfam family "Bacterial small subunit ribosomal RNA", at positions 7 to 415 of the family's 1533-position model. The record is from RNAcentral. Lineage: Bacteria; Bacillati; Bacillota; Clostridia; Eubacteriales; Clostridiaceae.
GAGCGUUUGAUCCUGGCUCAGGACGAACGCUGGCGGCGUGCUUAACACAUGCAAGUCAAGCGAUGAAAUCCCUUCGGGGAUGGAUUAGCGGCGGACGGGUGAGUAACACGUGGGCAACCUGCCUCAAAGUGGGGGAUAGCCUUCCGAAAGGAAGAUUAAUACCGCAUAACAUUAGUUUUUUACAUGAAUUACUAAUUAAAGGAGUAAUCCGCUUUGAGAUGGGCCCGCGGCGCAUUAGCUAGUUGGUGAGGUAACGGCUCACCAAGGCCACGAUGCGUAGCCGACCUGAGAGGGUAAUCGGCCACAUUGGAACUGAGACACGGUCCAGACUCCUACGGGAGGCAGCAGUGGGGAAUAUUGCACAAUGGGCGAAAGCCUGAUGCAGCAACGCCGCGUGAGUGAUGAAGGC